Molecule: ribosomal RNA, 467 nt
Filed under: uncultured bacterium
Lineage: Bacteria
Description: partial 16S ribosomal RNA
Rfam family: Bacterial small subunit ribosomal RNA
Source: RNAcentral
GACGAACGCUGGCGGCGUGCUUAACACAUGCAAGUCGAACGGAAAGGCCCUGCUUUUGUGGGGUGCUCGAGUGGCGAACGGGUGAGUAACACGUGAGUAACCUGCCCUUGACUUUGGGAUAACUUCAGGAAACUGGGGCUAAUACCGGAUAGGAGCUCCUGCUGCAUGGUGGGGGUUGGAAAGUUUCGGCGGUUGGGGAUGGACUCGCGGCUUAUCAGCUUGUUGGUGGGGUAGUGGCUUACCAAGGCUUUGACGGGUAGCCGGCCUGAGAGGGUGACCGGCCACAUUGGGACUGAGAUACGGCCCAGACGCCUACGGGAGGCAGCAGUGGGGAAUAUUGCACAAUGGGCGGAGGCCGGAGGCAGCAACGCCGCGUGCGGGAUGACGGCCUUCGGGUGGGAAACCGCUUUCGCCUGUGACGAAGCGUGAGGGACGGUAAUGGGUAAAGAAGCACCGGCUAACUACGG